RNAcentral lists this unclassified non-coding RNA (244 nucleotides) under Pleosporales sp. Its description in RNAcentral is "partial contains 5.8S ribosomal RNA, internal transcribed spacer 2, and large subunit ribosomal RNA". The record is from RNAcentral. Lineage: Eukaryota; Fungi; Ascomycota; Dothideomycetes; Pleosporales.
CGCACAUUGCGCCCCUUGGUAUUCCAUGGGGCAUGCCUGUUCGAGCGUCAUCUGCACCUUCAAGCUCUGCUUGGUGUUGGGCGUCUUGUCUCUGCUCUGCGCAGAGACUCGCCUUGAAUCUAUUGGCAGCCGUGACUUGGUGGUGAGCGCAGCACAUUUUGCGCACUCCGCCGGCCUUGCGGCGUCCAUAAAGCACAUUCUACGGUUUGACCUCGGAUCAGGUAGGGAUACCCGCUGAACUUAA